Molecule: ribosomal RNA, 1348 nt
Filed under: Salmonella enterica subsp. enterica serovar Agona
Lineage: Bacteria; Pseudomonadati; Pseudomonadota; Gammaproteobacteria; Enterobacterales; Enterobacteriaceae
Description: partial 23S ribosomal RNA
Rfam family: Bacterial large subunit ribosomal RNA
Source: RNAcentral
AGAAGGCUAUGUUGGCCGGGCGACGGUUGUCCCGGUUUAAGCGUGUAGGUGUGUGUUCCAGGUAAAUCCGGUUCACUUUAACACUGAGGCGUGAUGACGAGGCACUACGGUGCUGAAGCAACAAAUGCCCUGCUUCCAGGAAAAGCCUCUAAGCAUCAGGUAACAUCAAAUCGUACCCCAAACCGACACAGGUGGUCAGGUAGAGAAUACCAAGGCGCUUGAGAGAACUCGGGUGAAGGAACUAGGCAAAAUGGUGCCGUAACUUCGGGAGAAGGCACGCUGACACGUAGGUGAAGUGAUUUACUCAUGGAGCUGAAGUCAGUCGAAGAUACCAGCUGGCUGCAACUGUUUAUUAAAAACACAGCACUGUGCAAACACGAAAGUGGACGUAUACGGUGUGACGCCUGCCCGGUGCCGGAAGGUUAAUUGAUGGGGUCAGCGCAAGCGAAGCUCCUGAUCGAAGCCCCGGUAAACGGCGGCCGUAACUAUAACGGUCCUAAGGUAGCGAAAUUCCUUGUCGGGUAAGUUCCGACCUGCACGAAUGGCGUAAUGAUGGCCAGGCUGUCUCCACCCGAGACUCAGUGAAAUUGAACUCGCUGUGAAGAUGCAGUGUACCCGCGGCAAGACGGAAAGACCCCGUGAACCUUUACUAUAGCUUGACACUGAACAUUGAGCCUUGAUGUGUAGGAUAGGUGGGAGGCUUUGAAGUGUGGACGCCAGUCUGCAUGGAGCCGACCUUGAAAUACCACCCUUUAAUGUUUGAUGUUCUAACGUGGACCCGUAAUCCGGGUUGCGGACAGUGUCUGGUGGGUAGUUUGACUGGGGCGGUCUCCUCCUAAAGAGUAACGGAGGAGCACGAAGGUUGGCUAAUCCUGGUCGGACAUCAGGAGGUUAGUGCAAUGGCAUAAGCCAGCUUGACUGCGAGCGUGACGGCGCGAGCAGGUGCGAAAGCAGGUCAUAGUGAUCCGGUGGUUCUGAAUGGAAGGGCCAUCGCUCAACGGAUAAAAGGUACUCCGGGGAUAACAGGCUGAUACCGCCCAAGAGUUCAUAUCGACGGCGGUGUUUGGCACCUCGAUGUCGGCUCAUCACAUCCUGGGGCUGAAGUAGGUCCCAAGGGUAUGGCUGUUCGCCAUUUAAAGUGGUACGCGAGCUGGGUUUAGAACGUCGUGAGACAGUUCGGUCCCUAUCUGCCGUGGGCGCUGGAGAACUGAGGGGGGCUGCUCCUAGUACGAGAGGACCGGAGUGGACGCAUCACUGGUGUUCGGGUUGUCAUGCCAAUGGCACUGCCCGGUAGCUAAAUGCGGAAGAGAUAAGUGCUGAAAGCAUCUAAGCACGAAACUUGCCCCGA